CCUACGGUCGGCAGCAGUGGGGAAUAUUGGGCAAUGGGCGCAAGCCUGACCCAGCAACGCCGCGUGAAGGAAGAAGGCUUUCGGGUUGUAAACUUCUUUUGUUAGGGAAGAGUAGAAGACGGUACCUGACGAAUAGGCCACGGCUAACUACGUGCCAGCAGCCGCGGUAAUACGUAGGUGGCAGGCGUUGUCCGGAUUUACUGGGUGUAAAGGGCGUGUAGCCGGGUUGACAAGUCAGUUGUGAAAUCCUGGGGCUUAACCGCAGAACUGCAUUUGAAACUGUUGAUCUUGAGUACUGUGGAGGCAGACGGAAUUCCGAGUGUAGCGGUGAAAUGCGUAGAUAUUAGGAGGAACACCAGUGGCGAAGGCGGUCUGCUGGACAGCAACUGACGGUGAGGCGCGAAAGCGUGGGGAGCAAACAGGAUUAGAUACCCCGGUAGUC
Molecule: ribosomal RNA, 442 nt
Filed under: uncultured bacterium
Lineage: Bacteria
Description: partial 16S ribosomal RNA
Rfam family: Bacterial small subunit ribosomal RNA
Source: RNAcentral